ACCAAAAGAAUAUAAAAUUUAUCAGAAGAAAUAUUAAUUACACAUAUGAAUUAGCCAUUCCAAAAAACGAAAAAAUCAUCUAAGUGUUAAUUUCAUUUAGACAUUAUUUUUUUUUUUUUGGUCUAAACCAUCCGGUAUCCGGUGACCACAUUGGGCCCCGACUACUCCGGAUUCGGAGAGAGGGCGAUUCUCCUCCCAACGUAGGCGACUCCACCAAGACUCGAACUGGGGAGCAAACCCAGUCGAGGCUUGAGGGGUUCAGUUCGCUACCAACUGAACCAACUGAACCAACCAGCAGUAAAUUUAUUGUAUUUGUCCGUUGAGGCAAGUCGCGAGAGCACUUAGGCCUUAUUAUUGAAGCGUAGGUCUAUUUUGUACGGCUCAAAUUGUGAUGGCAGUAAUUAUGUAGAAGUACUUUUUUGAAGAAGUUUGCUUCAGUGUUUGGCAGUAUUAUUUUUUAAAAGGUGAGUUAUUUGUACUAAAAAAUAUUUUGACUACUUAUCUUUUAAUAUAAUUUUAUGUUAUUAAAUUACCCCAAUAUUAAUUCACAAUUGAGGACCAUAUUCAAUGAUUAAUAAAAUAUAUUAUCAAUGACUUAUCUUUUACUAUAACACUCAUUCAGCAUGAUGAUUUGCUUCUUUUCCUUCUUUAAUGUGUAAUGUGUGUGUCCGUUAUGCAGUGAGAUUGAUAAAACUUUAAAUGAUCAAAGCAGUAAAUUUAUUGUAUUUGUCCGUUGAGGCAAGUCGCGAGAGCACUUAGGCCUUAUUAUUGAAGCGUAGGUCUAUUUUGUACGGCUCAAAUUGUGAUGGCAGUAAUUAUGAUAGAAGUACUUUUUUGAAGAACUUUGCUUGGGUGUUUGGCAGUAUUAUUUUUUUGGGAAAUUAUCAGUCAUAUAUCUUUAAAUGACAUCCGUAUCAAACGUAUGUGAACACUUUUUAAGUGUAUCACUCGUAUAUCUUAAGUUGACAAAAUACUUCUGUCGUCUACCAAUCUGUUAACUUCCGUUAGAAAGUUAACAUAAUUGUGACAAAUUGACUAUUUUGCCCUUGAAAUUCAAAAUGAGGUAAAAAGAUAAAUUUACCCCAAAAUUAACGUAAAUUUUCA
RNAcentral lists this long non-coding RNA (1104 nucleotides) under Citrus x clementina. Its description in RNAcentral is "Citrus clementina (C. clementina) long non-coding RNA (CCLE_LNC001514)". The record is from RNAcentral. Lineage: Eukaryota; Viridiplantae; Streptophyta; Magnoliopsida; Sapindales; Rutaceae.